Molecule: ribosomal RNA, 507 nt
Filed under: uncultured bacterium
Lineage: Bacteria
Description: partial 16S ribosomal RNA
Rfam family: Bacterial small subunit ribosomal RNA
Source: RNAcentral
GAUGAACGCUGGCGGCGUGCUUAACACAUGCAAGUCGAACGGCAGCAUGGUGCAGUUUACUGUACUGAUGGCGAGUGGCGGACGGGUGAGUAACGCGUAGGAAUACACCUUUAGGACUGGGACAACUUGUGGAAACGCGAGCUAAUACCGGAUAAUAUCUGAGGAUAAAAGCUGGGGACCUUAGGGCCUGGCGUCUAGAGAGUAGCCUGCGUCUGAUUAGCUAGUUGGUGGGGUAAGGGCCUACCAAGGCGACGAUCGGUAGCUGGUCUGAGAGGGUGGACAGCCACACUGGGACUGAGAGACGGCCCAGACUCCUACGGGAGGCAGCAGUGGGGAAUAUUGGACAAUGGGGGGAACCCUGAUCCAGCGAUGCCGCGUGUGUGAAGAAGGCCUGAGGGUUGUAAAGCACUUUAGGUGGGGAGGAGGAUUUAUUGGUUAAGAGCUGAUGAAUUGGACGUUACCCACGGAAUAAGCACCGGCUAACUCCGUGCCAGCAGCCCGCCGUAA